Molecule: ribosomal RNA, 492 nt
Filed under: uncultured bacterium
Lineage: Bacteria
Description: partial 16S ribosomal RNA
Rfam family: Bacterial small subunit ribosomal RNA
Source: RNAcentral
AGUGAACGCUGGCGGUAGGCCUAACACAUGCAAGUCGAACGGCAGCACAGUAAGAGCUUGCUCUUACGGGUGGCGAGUGGCGGACGGGUGAGGAAUACAUCGGAAUCUACUUUUUCGUGGGGGAUAACGUAGGGAAACUUACGCUAAUACCGCAUACGACCUACGGGUGAAAGCAGGGGAUCUUCGGACCUUGCGCGAUUGAAUGAGCCGAUGUCGGAUUAGCUAGUUGGCGGGGUAAAGGCCCACCAAGGCGACGAUCCGUAGCUGAUCUGAGAGGAUGAUCAGCCACACUGGAACUGAGACACGGUCCAGACUCCUACGGGAGGCAGCAGUGGGGAAUAUUGGACAAUGGGCGCAAGCCUGAUCCAGCCAUGCCGCGUGAGUGAAGAAGGCCUUCGGGUUGUAAAGCCCUUUUGUUGGGAAAGAAAAGCAGCAGGUUAAUACCCCGCCGUCCUGACGGUACCCAAAGAAUAAGCACCGGCUAACUUCGUG